AAGAUCUCAAUUUUAAAACAUUACAUCCUUUUAAAACAAUAAAUUAAGUUUUUAUUUAUUUAAAUAGAUAUGUUGUUCGUUAUGAACAGGAUGUUACUGUGAAGUUGUGUGAAGAUUUUCUUUCUUUUGCUUUGCCAUAAAAAAUGAAUAUGAUCAUAUUGUGGGUAAUUGUCUUAACCAUAAUUAUAGCUCUGUUUUCUAGGGAAACAAUGAAGUAUAUUCUUAGAAUAAAAUAAGUUUAGAAAAUACUCUUUAAUCAUCCCAGUGCAAUUAUAUUCAUUAUUUAUUUUGCUUUUUAAAUCAGUAAAUUAUUAGCUACUGAAAAUUAUAAUUACUGCCAAUUAAUAGAUAAGGCUCUACAUAUUCAAUCAUUUAAUUAAUAAUAUUACUUUUUUAUUUUACAAGUAAAUCAUUCAGUUUUGGAAAUUUAAGUCAACAAAUAAAUAUUAAUAUUCUUUAUAGAAUGUUACAUUAUUUAAGACUAAAAGUGUACCUAAGUUUGGCUGUUGUGAAGUUUUAAAAAUGCAUAUGCUUUUAUUUUAAAAGGUAUUAAUAUUAUAUAUUAUUAGGAUAUUAUAUGAGCAAACAUGUUUUCUUCAAUUUUUUUAACCGUGUAUGUAGUCAGUCAUUACUAAGAGUGAAUAGGGAGUCACUGCUCCAUCCCCUUAUCUGUGCAUACCACUGUUCUGCAGACACUUUGGUGAUGAUAUAUAGGAUCAAGAUGUUUGGACAAAGAGCCUGUUUCCUGAUCCCCUAGCUAAUGUGUGUAUAUGUGAAAAAAAUAAAUAACAUUCAUAUGUGUGCUGUCUUUUGUUCAUAAUCAAAGCAGUCUCAAUGAUUUUCUCACAGGGGUGCUCUCUUGUAUAUAUUUGAGGACACUGUCAGAUUUUUAAAUCCAGGCUUAGAAUAGUGACUAUAACCAGGUUUAUCUUCUUUUUUGCAUCCAUGGUAUAUUUCUUCUAAACUGUACCCAAAUUCAUUAUCAGAAUUUCUUUUAACGAAGUGCUUCAGCUGUAACCUUCAGUUGAUGAACUUUGCUCUUUAAGUGAAGUAUUAUUUGUUAAUUCA
Sapajus apella (tufted capuchin) is the source of this 1068-nucleotide long non-coding RNA. RefSeq lists it as uncharacterized. The transcript is spliced from 3 exons. Lineage: Eukaryota; Metazoa; Chordata; Mammalia; Primates; Cebidae. The record is from RefSeq and is a predicted model, not a curated record.